AUGAGAAUAUGAGAAUAAAUAGGGGAACACUGCGAUGAAGCGGUGUUCCCUUAUUUGUUUCCCUCAGUAUAUGUUCAGCGAAAAAGGAUUUG
Long non-coding RNA from Haliotis rubra (blacklip abalone), 92 nucleotides. RefSeq lists it as uncharacterized. The transcript has 3 exons. Lineage: Eukaryota; Metazoa; Mollusca; Gastropoda; Lepetellida; Haliotidae. The record is from RefSeq and is a predicted model, not a curated record.